This 254-nucleotide ribosomal RNA is filed under the name uncultured bacterium. Its description in RNAcentral is "partial 16S ribosomal RNA". It matches the Rfam family "Bacterial small subunit ribosomal RNA", at positions 524 to 776 of the family's 1533-position model. The record is from RNAcentral.
UACGUAGGGUGCAAGCGUUGUCCGGAAUUAUUGGGCGUAAAGAGCUCGUAGGCGGUCUGUCGCGUCGGCUGUGAAAACUCGGGGCUCAACCCCGAGCCUGCAGUCGAUACGGGCAGACUAGAGUGCUGUAGGGGAGACUGGAAUUCCUGGUGUAGCGGUGAAAUGCGCAGAUAUCAGGAGGAACACCGGUGGCGAAGGCGGUCUGCUGGGGUGAGGCUGACGCUGGAGGCGCGACAGCGUGGGGAGCAAACAGG